Molecule: long non-coding RNA, 1721 nt
Organism: Aegilops tauschii subsp. strangulata
Lineage: Eukaryota; Viridiplantae; Streptophyta; Magnoliopsida; Poales; Poaceae
Source: RefSeq, a predicted model, not a curated record
CCUGUUCUUACCUGUUUAGUCAUCAUCUUUUUUCUGUCUUGUGUUGUGGUCCUGAUAUUCCUACAGUGCAGUUCAUUGAUGCAGAUUAAACUAGAUAGUACCUUAUCUUCUGUUGGUGUUCACAUAAUAUGAUGAUGGCAUGUCUUCGAGCAAAAUCUGCUGGUGAAGUUGUACUCCCUCUGUUUCUAAAUAUAAGACCUUUAAGAGUUUCCAGUAUGGACUACAUACGGUUGUCUAUAUUCAUCCGUAUGUAGUCCAUAUUGAAAUCUCUAAAAUGGAUUAUAUUUAGAAAUGGAGGGAGUAUGAUUUUAUUUCCAACCAAUGGAUUAUAGGUAGGUGUCUGUUUAUCAUUCGAGAGCAAAUUGGCAAUGUUUCAACUGAAGCUUGGUUUAUUAUAUGCACUAUGUAGAAGAAGCGUUUGGUUAUUUGCAACUCAAUGAUGUGUCCUUGUUAGACUGUUGUAGAAUCUGAAGAGCGUAUUUGAAUAUUUUGCCAGCAUGCCAUGCAUAUUUGUGUUGUACCGUGUUGUGUUGCAUUAUAGAGAGAGCUGACUCAAGUAGUUUCUUCGAAUAUUACAGGAAGCCACAGGCUGAAGGAGGGAGAGAAGUUGAUGCAUGCCACAUGUGUAGUAGUCUCACAGUUGUCAAGCUUAUCCAGCAGUCCUAUACCAGACUGUGUGCCUGAUGUGAUGUGGGCAGUCUAGGAAAAACAAUAGGGGUCAAAUCCCUAAGUAUCAGGCCUGGAAGUCACAAGUCUUGUAAAAUAGGUGACCACUCCUUGGUUGGUCCUGACAUCGCUUGCACAUGGACUAGCAGCUCUCGUCAGGGCGACCUGAUGGUUGUCAUCGCGGUCUCCGAUGAUGGUGGUGUGCUGCCUUGCUUCCAGCGCCGACGAGGCGAUGGGGCCCAUAACCUCGGCUCCCACGACUACCUCCCUGGCUGCCUCUACUUAGCAUUGGUGGUGCGUCUAGAUUUAAGCAGGAGGAAUUACCAUUAAUAUUUGAUUGCAUGAGGACUGCUAUCCAGUUAUUAGAGGUGACCACUCCUUGGUUGGUCCUGGUGUUGCGUGCACGGUGACCAGCAGCUCUCUUCGGUGUGAUUUUGUGUUUGUCAUCGCGGUCUCUGGAAAUGGUGGUGCUUCACCUUGCUUCUCGUGCCGAUGAGAUGGUGAGGCCUGUAACCUCGGCCUCGGCUCCCUCUACUUAGAUAAGCUGACUCGACGGCAUGCCCCUUUGUUUUGGGCGCCAUCACCGAUGAGAUGCCGCUGGCUGUGUCGUAACCUCCGUGUUCGGCUACUACGGCUUUGGUGGACUACUUCCUUCGUGGUCACUACUCCAACUUCCCUUGCAGCAUGAUGAGGUGGUGGUCGUCUUUUCCUUGGUUCUGAAGGACUAGAAGAGAGAUGUUGAAGAAAAAGGGUUGGCGCAAAUCCCAGGAGAUGCUCUGAAAAAGCCUUGUUUCGCUGGGUGUCGACCGAAUCCGAAUGGUUUUUCGAACGGAUGUUAGAUGGAAUGGUGAUGUUGGUCUUGUCUAGGGAGUGCUAUGCACUGUUGUAAACUUUGGAUUGUAUUUCCAUGUAGAGAUGUAAACCGGGUCCCAUUAAAUCAUGUUUAAACAUACUAAUGAUCUAAGAGUUCAAUUAUUCGUUUUCUUUUCGGGGAAAAUGAACUAUGGAGCUAAGUAAAGCUAACUAAACAAGACUUGAAGAACCUGCUUAUUUGC